Acanthosepion pharaonis is the source of this 106-nucleotide non-coding RNA. NCBI's taxonomy places the organism in Eukaryota, Metazoa, Mollusca, Cephalopoda, Sepiida, Sepiidae. The record is from the annotation of a GenBank genome assembly.
AGACUGACGUUGAAACACUGGUUCCCGUAUGAUCACCGAAGUUAAGCAACGUCGAGUUUGGUCAGUACCUAGAUGGGUAAUCACUUGGGAAUACUGAUGCCGUAAU